CAGGGGUACCUACAUCCAUUUUAAGCUUUUCUUCAUGAGGGUGACAUCGGAAUAGCCGGUACGCAAGAGACGGGAAUUUAGAGCUAUGACCAGUAAUGCUUGCAAUAUUAACAACAUGGAUGGAGAAGAAGCAUGAAUAUAUCAUCUAGAUGGCUCCCAGUAUUAUCUUUCAAAUCUAGAGCCCUAAUAAAUUUAGAAAUUAAACCCUCUUAUUGUACUUAUAUUCCAUUUUCCGAAUAAUUGA
This 244-nucleotide long non-coding RNA is filed under the name Elaeis guineensis (African oil palm). Its description in RNAcentral is "long non-coding RNA (EGUI_LNC045055)". Lineage: Eukaryota; Viridiplantae; Streptophyta; Magnoliopsida; Arecales; Arecaceae. The record is from RNAcentral.